Molecule: ribosomal RNA, 253 nt
Filed under: uncultured bacterium
Lineage: Bacteria
Description: partial 16S ribosomal RNA
Rfam family: Bacterial small subunit ribosomal RNA
Source: RNAcentral
UACGUAGGGGGCAAGCGUUGUCCGGAAUCAUUUGGCGUAACGCGCGUGUAGGCGGCCAGAAAAGUCCGCUGUGAAAACUCGAGGCUCAACUUCGAGCUGUCGGUGGAAACUUUCUGGCUAGAGUCCGGAAGAGGAGAAUGGAAUUCCUGGUGUAGCGGUGAAAUGCGCAGAUAUCAGGAAGAACACCCGUGGCGAAGGCGGUUCUCUGGGACGGUACUGACGCUGAGACGCGAAAGCGUGGGGAGCGAACAGG